UACGUAGGGUGCAAGCGUUAAUCGGAAUUACUGGGCGUAAAGCGUGCGCAGGCGGUUUGUAAGUUUGUCGUGAAAGCCCCGGGCUCAACCUGGGAAUUGCGAUGAAGACUGCAAGGCUUGAAUCUGGCAGAGGGGGUAGAAUUCCACGUGUAGCAGUGAAAUGCGUAGAGAUGUGGAGGAACACCGAUGGCGAAGGCAGCCCCUGGGUCAAGAUUGACGCGCUCAUGCACGAAAGCGUGGGGAGCAAACAGG
This 252-nucleotide ribosomal RNA is filed under the name uncultured bacterium. RNAcentral's name for it is "partial 16S ribosomal RNA". It matches the Rfam family "Bacterial small subunit ribosomal RNA", at positions 524 to 776 of the family's 1533-position model. The record is from RNAcentral.